Macadamia integrifolia is the source of this 3977-nucleotide long non-coding RNA. RefSeq lists it as uncharacterized. The transcript is spliced from 3 exons. The record is from RefSeq and is a predicted model, not a curated record. Lineage: Eukaryota; Viridiplantae; Streptophyta; Magnoliopsida; Proteales; Proteaceae.
GGGUAUCCAUGGCUAUUUCCUUGUGUUAGAUUGAGGAAGAAGGACUUGGUGUGCGAUCCAAGUGACUCCUUGCGGCGUGAAGUCGAGGAGGUCUGCUUCUAAUGAUUAUUCUCUUUAAGUUCUUUGUUUAUUCUCGAGGUUUAUCAAGGCUACAAAUCAGGUAUGUGAUUUCUGAACUUGCCUAGAAAAUUCUGCAAAAACAGAGCAUCCGCCCCUAUUGGAAUAUCUAGGUUUGAUUCUCAGAUUGACUCAGUUUUUUGGUCGAUUGUUCCUUAAUCUCCAAGCAUGGUUCGACCCAAUUUUGGGAUGAUUCUGUCCACUCCAUCUUGAGUUAUUAGAAAUCACCAGUUCCUUGUCUUUUAGUGACCUGCUGUGUUCUAACUUGAGGUCGAUUACUGUGACUGAUUUUAUGUUGCUUCCUUAAGAUGGUGCGUCAUUAUUGUUGUUGAUUUGAACCUCUAAAGACCUCUGGGGUUUUUUGGUUGUGUUUAUUUAGUCUACUGCUGCCCUAUCCUAAUCUAUAUUGGUAAUCAGAAAUCUGUCAACUGCUGAAAUUGCUACUGUUCUGUUAUGGUUGUGGACUGUUGAUACUAUAGUCUGGUUGUCGAUUAGUCCUUUUGUUUGGUGCUGAUAUCUGGUCAUAGAGCCCCAAAUUCUGGUUUGACAAAUCUGAUUGUUAAGGACUGUUGACUAGUUAAUAUUGGACUGUUAUUGCUGCUCACUGUUGGGUGAUUAUUGGUUCUCUGGUUUAUAAUUUCCUGCAGUCUUGGGUCUGGUUUGGUUGUCAAAUCCAUCCCUACAUUAACCUCCAGCCAAAACCAAGGGCGGAAGACCAGAACCCUACAAAGGAUGGUUCUCACUCAACAGUACUCUGAUGGAGCUGAGAUUUUGGAACAACCUCCAUAUACCCCAGCCCUAUGAAGCCCAAGUGAUUGCUCAACAAAACAGCAAUCGACCAUUUAAAGAAAGCUUCCUGAAGGCUGAAACUGCAGGUGGCAGUUGGCAUAGAACUAGCCUGUUUACAGACUGUGUGUCACGGUAGAGGAACUGUUUGGCACAGGAAACUGGGAUUUGGGUCACUCAGAGGAGGGGGUAUCUAUGACUCAAAUCUCAGGGGAAAAGGAAGAGGAACCAGGGAUAUCAAUCCCAAACUUGUUGAACUUGUAGUACCGCAGAAACAGGGGAUUAGGACUAAGAUGGGGAAGACGAAUUGAAGAGAAACAAAAAAUAAAGAAGAAGAAGAUGAAGGAAGAGGAGAACAAAGGGGAGAGAGUCGAACCUGAGAAGAAGAGGAAUUGAGAAAGGAAGAGGAAUGGAAGGCUGCACUGUCGGCCACACUGGAAUCUUGCCAAGCACUCCAUGGCAACACAAAAAAACUCAAUUAUUAUUCAUUCAAUUCUAUUCACUAUCUCCAUUGGUAGGUUACAUUGAAUAUUAAUAGCAAAAUGAAACUCCUAAAAACAAGAAGCUAACUCUAAAUAGGGAACUAAAACUAAUUAGGAAACAAACAACGACGUAGCUAUCUCCUUGAUAACUCAUGGUUUCAGAUUUCAUUAGUUUAGCUGAAAUUACAUACGGGAGUGCCGGCUUAUACAAAGAUGAGAACUCUACAAUUGGAAGGCCUUGCUGUACAUGAGAAGGAUGCACACAAUAGGAAAGCUUGUUGUAUGUGAGAAGGAUAGAGGUGGAUUUGGAAAGGCUUUUGGCUGUAUUGAAUAUAGAGUUCCCUUGUAAACAAGUUGACUCAAUAUUUGUUUAAUACACCCCUUCAAGUUGAAGGGACAAGUGAGCGGAUCUUCAACUUGUCACGUAGAAGUUGAAACCGUUUUAUUGGUAGGCCCUUAUUCAUAAUUUCCGCUGGUCGAUUUGCCAUUGAAAUGAAUUGAACCAUCAACUCUCGUUUGACAGCCUUGUAAUGUAAAAAAUGAAAGUUAAUCUCAACCUGCUUGGUACAAGCAUGGAAUACUGGAUUUUCUAAGAGAUAUGUCGCCCCAAUAUUAUCACACUAUAGAAUUGGAGAGUGUUUGAGAGGAAUACCAAGUUCCUUAAGAAGAGAUUCCAACUAAGUAAGUUCAGAUGCAUCGGCAAAAGCUUUGUAUUCCGAAUUAGUGGAUGAACGAGCAACAUUUUUUUAUUUGCAGGAUGUCCUUGAAAUGAGAUUUGUACCAUGCAUUGUAUACUCUCUCGUGGAUUUCCGAUCAUCACUGUUCCCUUCCCUGUUAACAUUUGAAAAUGCCUGAUGUGUGAGAUGAUGAUAUUUCUCAAUAAGCAAGCCAUAAGUCUGUGUAUGCUUGAGAUAAUGGAGAAUCUGCUUAAUAAGUGACCAAUAUUCUUCUGUAGGGUCGUGUAUAACCGAUUCAAAUGCACUAUCCGCCAUCAUCCUCCUCGUCCUUCCUUAUGAGCCCCAUCCAGCCACCCUAUCUCUUCAACUCUGUUAGUGCCUUCACCCUUACCCAUCCAGUUGGCCCCACCACAUCCCCCAACUCUUGCACACUCCAUGACUCUUCGGCACAUGACUAAGCCCCCCAUGCCCUAUCAUCCACCGCCACAUCCUCUCCCCCCACCCAUCUAUAUCAAACAUGUUUCUCCCAAGCCAACAAAAUUCCCAAAUGGAGGUCCACAUGGUAGAUGAAUUUAACGACUUAUUAUGUAACGGCACUUGGACACCUGUCCCUCGCCAACCCCGUAUGAAUUUGAUUGGUUGCAAUUGAGUUUACCAAAGUGGAUGGUUCUUUUGAAAGGUUCAAGGCCCGCCUUCUUACAAUUACAAAAGACUUUCAUCAACAAUAUGGUUUGGAUUAUACUGACACUUUCAGUUCUGUGUUGAACUUGCAACAGUCCGACCUUUCUUCAUGCAUUCUCAGUGAGGAGGUGUACAUGAGUCAGCCACCCGGUUUUCAGUACCCCACCAAACUGGAUCGUAUUUGUAAGCUGCAUUGCUCUCUUUAUGACCUUAAACAGAAUGCACGUGGUUGGUUCUAUAAUUUGUCUACAUUCCUUUUGCACCAUGGGUUUCACAGCUUCUCAAACGGAUCUGUCCUUAUUCAUCUAUAACCAAGGUAUGGCCAUCAUGUAUGUAUUGGUGUUCUGGUCACAAGAAAUCAUUCCACUCAUGUUACAACCCUCCUUGACCAAUUGGUAUCUGAGUUCUCCAUCAAAGAUUUGUGGACCAUACAUUUCAUUUUUGGAAUUGAAGCAGUUUGUCACCCUAAAGGUCUUUUAUUAACUUAGUCUCGAUACAUCAGUGAUCUCUUAUAUAGGGUCGGAAUGAUGGAUUGUAGGCCUGUUCUCACACCAUGGCCAUGAAUAUGAAAUUAUUUGCUUCAGGGGGUGUACUUCUUUCUUACCCUACUUUGUAUCGCUUUAUUGUUGGGUCUCUCUAAUACAUCACUUUGAAAUGUCCUAAUGUUGUAUUUGUAGUAAAUUAUGAUUUUCAAUUUAUGUACGACCCUACAGAAGAGCUUUGGCCACUUUUUAAGCUGAUUCUCCAUUAUCUCAAGUGUACACAGACUAUUGAUUUGCUUAUUGAGAAAUAUCAUCAGCUCACACUUCCAGCCUUUUCAUAUGCUGACUAGGCAGGGAAAAAUAAUGACCGGUGUCCACGAGAGGGUAUGCAAUUUUUUAGACUUCCUACAAAUAGGAAUCUAUUACUUGUUCAUCCACAGAGUCCAAAUACAGAGCCUUAGCUGAUGCAUCAGUUGAACUUACUUGGUUGGAAUCUCGUCUUGUGGAACUUGGUAUAUGAUGAUACUACUGAAGGCAGGAAAGUCUGCACUUAUUACAACUUGGAUUCCAUUCCUGUGAUUCUUGUUAUUGAUCCCAUCACAGGGCAAAAGAUGUGGUCAUGGAAUGGAAUGGUCCAUCCAGACCGUUUGUUGGAGGAUCUACUACCUUAUAUGGACAGUGGCCCCAAGAACCACCAUAUCACUCAUCCGCAUAAACGUCCACGUGAGAGUCCACAGAUUUCUACCCAAAAA